Molecule: long non-coding RNA, 289 nt
Filed under: Capsella rubella
Lineage: Eukaryota; Viridiplantae; Streptophyta; Magnoliopsida; Brassicales; Brassicaceae
Description: long non-coding RNA (CRUB_LNC000776)
Source: RNAcentral
AAAAAUAAAAUAAAAAUAGUAUUAAGAAAGAGCCGUCACGAUUGAUGACGGCAAGGAACUGACGCAAGCAAAUGCGAACGGCAUACGGAUGAUGUUAGCUUGUUGGGUUUGGAUUUUGCUUGUGAUACGAUGACAAACAAUAACAUCACUUUCGAAAAUAAAAAAAUAAAAAAAAAAUCAUUUUGAUCACAAUAAUAUAUAGGGUAUACUUGUUUGUUUGUAGUGUGGUCCGAACUUUAUUAAUAAUAGUAUUUGUUAUGGACCAAAGUCAUUCUUUUGUGUGUUGGCC